RNAcentral lists this ribosomal RNA (316 nucleotides) under uncultured eukaryote. RNAcentral describes it as "partial 18S ribosomal RNA". It matches the Rfam family "Eukaryotic small subunit ribosomal RNA", at positions 1470 to 1796 of the family's 1831-position model. The record is from RNAcentral.
CCCUUAGAUGUUCUGGGCCGCACGCGCGCUACACUGACUGGUGCAACAAGUGUCUGACCUUGGCUCGAGAGGCCUGGGCAACCUUUGAACGCCAGUCGUGCUGGGGAUAGAUUCUUGCAAUUAUUAAUCUUCAACGAGGAAUUCCUAGUAAACGCAAGUCAUCAACUUGCAUUGAUUACGUCCCUGCCCUUUGUACACACCGCCCGUCGCACCUACCGAUUGAAUGGUCCGGUGAAGCCUCCGGAUUGGCGCGCACCUCGGUGCCGCCGAGAAGUUGGCUAAACCUUACCAUUUAGAGGAAGGUGAAGUCGUANCA